UACUGUUUAGACGCAUUGGAGCUAUACGCGUUUUAUUUCGCAUAUAAUUUCAAAUUGUGCACGAGUUUAAAAUAUUUUCGAAUUUAAAAUAUUUAUUUUUUAGUCAUAAAUAUUUGAAGUACUUGUGUUUUUUUACGAGUGUUUUUAAUUCGCAUAUUUAUUUACGAAUUUGAAUUACCAAUUUUAUUUGCAAAUGUUUGACAUAUUAUUUCCGAUUUUUUAAUAUGUAUUUAUUCGCGAGUGUUUAUAGAAUUUGUGUCUUAUUUGUAUAAUUUUAAAACACGUUUAUUUAUGCAUGUUCAAAUUAUAUACAUUUAUUCACGAGUGUGAUAAUUUUUCAUUUUUACGAUAUUUUAUUUGUGUGUGUGAUAGUUUCGCGCGUUUUAUUCGUAAAUGCCGGUAUUUCGUUGUCAAGAUGGCUGAAGCUAUUGGAUUACUAAAUACUUUGGUGUUAUCUAUGAAUGACAAUGAUUCGGUGAUCGUGCAAUUAAGCAGUUUUCAACAGUCAAAGUGGCAGCCAUCAACAAUCUCCUUCUCUGCGCGAGCCCCGAGAGAUAUAAGAAGACAACGUUGGAAGAAUUGUCGCGGUUUGAGAAUACGUUUUACACGAUGAACGAACCAGAUCCUUGUCUACCAUUGAUUCUACCACCUAGAUACAGGCUUCGUGAUCUCAUACUGGGGGAUUAUGCUUUCAACGACGAUGGGGAAAGAUACUCGAGAAGCGUUGUGAUUUUAUUAUUAAAAUUUUCCAAACGAAUUGAAUCUUGUCUUGAAUUCCCUUUAUCCAAUAUCGAAAGGAACGAAUAAUUCGUUUGCUCUACCAUUGUAUUUAUCCAGGCGAAGCAUAAAAUAUUAAAAUGUUGAAAUAUUGAAAUAUUUCAUACUGUAAAUUAAUCGUGUGUUGCUCGUUUAUGUAAUAUUUUAAUCUCUUAAUAAAUUAAUCGUUGGAGUUUCGAGUGCUUUCGUAUGAAAUUUAUUAUUAUUAUUAUUAUUUUCUUUUUUGUUGAAAAAGUAACUCUCUUCAAUUCGAGACAACACGCGACGUGUUAUCUUGUGUAUCGAUCGUAUUUCCCUUUGAGGGGAAUAGAAGUAUGAUAUUUUUUUAACGAAUUUAAUUGCAAUUUCUUCGAAUCGCUACGAAUCCCUCGAUAAUUCAGAUUCUUAUGUCGCAGUGGUGAAUUGAAUUGAACGACACGAUGUCUAUUGUUGCCAUUUGGAAUUUCGAUUCGUGGAG
This is a long non-coding RNA of Apis dorsata (giant honeybee), 1234 nucleotides long. RefSeq lists it as uncharacterized. The transcript has 3 exons. NCBI's taxonomy places the organism in Eukaryota, Metazoa, Arthropoda, Insecta, Hymenoptera, Apidae. The record is from RefSeq and is a predicted model, not a curated record.